RNAcentral lists this ribosomal RNA (274 nucleotides) under uncultured bacterium. RNAcentral describes it as "partial 16S ribosomal RNA". It matches the Rfam family "Bacterial small subunit ribosomal RNA", at positions 523 to 796 of the family's 1533-position model. The record is from RNAcentral.
AUACGGGGGGUGCAAGCGUUGUCCGGAAUUACUGGGCGUAAAGGGCGUGUAGGCGGCCUGGUCAGUCAGAUGUGAAAGCCCACGGCUUAACCGUGGAACUGCAUUUGAAACUGCCAGGCUUGAGUGUGAGAUGGGGUAGUGGAAUUCCCAGUGUAGCGGUGAAAUGCGUAGAUAUUGGGAAGAACACCAGUAGCGAAGGCGGCUACCUGGCUCACAACUGACGCUAAUGCGCGAAAGCGCGGGGAGCAAACAGGAUUAGAAACCCGGGUAGUCC